GGAAUUGAAGACUUACCUAUUUUCCUUAUCAAGACCAAUAAAAUAAACUGAAAUAAAAAUAAACUGCAAAAGAAGAAAACUGAAAACGAGAUAAACUGAAACGAGAUAAAACUGAAACGAGAUAAAACUGAAAACGAGAUAAACUGAAAUGAGAUAAAACUGAAAUGAGAUAAAACUGAAAGAGAAAUAAACGGAAAGCAAAAUAAACUAAAACGAGAUAAAACUGAAACCAACUAAACUGUAAGUAAAAUGGGG
Molecule: long non-coding RNA, 255 nt
Filed under: Manihot esculenta (cassava)
Lineage: Eukaryota; Viridiplantae; Streptophyta; Magnoliopsida; Malpighiales; Euphorbiaceae
Description: long non-coding RNA (MESC_LNC002863)
Source: RNAcentral